UUUGGCGUGCACUUCUUCCUUAGUAGAACGUCGCGACCCGUUGAAUGUUGAUUUAUGGCCUAAAUGGUUGACUUUGAUUUUGCUUGCAUUGUCGGAGACCUUUAGUGUCCUGAUCAUCUGUUCGACGGUAUUCAAAUGGUAUAAAGUCGCUAUCAUAUGCGUUGAAUUCACUGCAAGUGUUGUUAAUUGUUGGUAGUGCGGAUCUAACGCCGUCACUGACAUUGACUCACUGUUGGCGAGUGUUUUUCUUUAACUGACUUAAUACCGUCAGCGA
This 274-nucleotide ribosomal RNA is filed under the name Phanaustrotoma sp. RK426. RNAcentral's name for it is "partial 28S ribosomal RNA". Lineage: Eukaryota; Metazoa; Arthropoda; Insecta; Hymenoptera; Braconidae. The record is from RNAcentral.